Molecule: ribosomal RNA, 460 nt
Filed under: uncultured bacterium
Lineage: Bacteria
Description: partial 16S ribosomal RNA
Rfam family: Bacterial small subunit ribosomal RNA
Source: RNAcentral
CCUACGGGUGGCAGCAGUGAGGAAUAUUGGUCAAUGGACGAGAGUCUGAACCAGCCAAGUAGCGUGAAGGAUGACUGCCCUAUGGGUUGUAAACUUCUUUUAUAUGGGAAUAAAAUGUUUCACGUGUGGGAUUUUGUAUGUACCAUAUGAAUAAGGAUCGGCUAAUUCCGUGCCAGCAGCCGCGGUAAUACGGAGGAUCCGAGCGUUAUCCGGAUUUAUUGGGUUUAAAGGGAGCGUAGGUGGAUUGUUAAGUCAGUUGUGAAAGGUUGCGGCUCAACCGUAAAAUUGCAGUUGAAACUGGCAGUCGUGAGUCCAGUAGAGGUGGGCGGAAUUCGUGGUGUAGCGGUGAAAUGCUUAGAUAUCACGAAGAACUCCGAUUGCGAAGGCAGCUCACUGGACUGCAACUGACACUGAGGCUCGAAAGUGUGGGUAUCAAACAGGAUUAGAUACCCGGGUAGUC